This 350-nucleotide ribosomal RNA is filed under the name uncultured bacterium. RNAcentral's name for it is "bacterial SSU rRNA". It matches the Rfam family "Bacterial small subunit ribosomal RNA", at positions 8 to 353 of the family's 1533-position model. The record is from RNAcentral.
AGAGUUUGAUCAUGGCUCAGGACGAACGCUGGCGGCGCGCCUAACACAUGCAAGUCGAACGAGCGAGAGAAAGCUUGCUUUCUCAAGCGAGUGGCGAACGGGUGAGUAACGCGUGAGGAACCUGCCUCAAAGAGGGGGACAACAGUUGGAAACGACUGCUAAUACCGCAUAAGCCCACGGCUCGGCAUCGAGCAGAGGGAAAAGGAGCAAUCCGCUUUGAGAUGGCCUCGCGUCCGAUUAGCUAGUUGGUGAGGUAACGGCCCACCAAGGCGACGAUCGGUAGCCGGACUGAGAGGUUGAACGGCCACAUUGGGACUGAGACACGGCCCAGACUCCUACGGGAGGCAGCA